CAAUUAAACUGAUCUCCUAGUAAAAAAGCUAGAAUUACAACAUAAGACCAGAAGACCCUGUGAAGCUUAAAUAAAACUAUUAAACCACAUAAUAACUACUUUCGGUUGGGGCGACCUUGGAAAAAAAGAGAACUUCCAAAUAAAAUGACUAUACUUCAUUAUCUUAAACAGGCCAACAAGCCAAAAAUGACCCAGCACAGCUGAUAAUCGAACCAAGUUACUCCAGGGAUAACAGCGCAAUCUUCUUCAAGAGCCCAUAUCAAAAAGAAGGUUUACGACCUCGAUGUUGGAUCAGGACAUCCUAAUGGUGCAGCCGCUAUUAAGGGUUCGUUUGUUCAACGAUUAAUA
RNAcentral lists this ribosomal RNA (348 nucleotides) under Coronella austriaca. RNAcentral describes it as "partial large subunit ribosomal RNA". It matches the Rfam family "Bacterial large subunit ribosomal RNA", at positions 2034 to 2593 of the family's 2925-position model. The record is from RNAcentral. Lineage: Eukaryota; Metazoa; Chordata; Lepidosauria; Squamata; Colubridae.